Molecule: non-coding RNA, 487 nt
Organism: Agelaius phoeniceus (red-winged blackbird)
Lineage: Eukaryota; Metazoa; Chordata; Aves; Passeriformes; Icteridae
Source: RefSeq, a predicted model, not a curated record
GACGGCAGCGCUGGGUUGACUCCCUGCCCCCCUUCCCCCUCCCGGCCGGAGGAAGAUGGAGCUCGGUUAGCGAGGGCUUGCGGGAGGAGCGGCGGGAGCAGAUAAAACAGUGAAGUCUUUAACUGCUCCAGAAGAGGGUCUGGAAGGAAAAUGUCUCUGGCAAAGAAGUAUCAGGCACAUGAUACUGCAGAGAUUCAAAAUCAGAAGUAAAUCAGCUGGACAGUUGCCUCCUGCCUUCCUAAAUAGGCAAACAUAUUAGCAACAGAAGAAGGGGCCUACCUACCUCAUUCCUGGAGAAGGUGGGUUUGCUGCUGUGGAUGCCUGCCUUGUUUGCUUCACCAAAAUGAGUUAGGGCAUGCAGGAGAGAAGGGAGACUUUUGCAAGCAGAGCCUAUCAUGGUGAGUCAGAUUUUGUCCCUGCUUUUGCUGUAGAGCUUCUCACUGUCCCUGCAUUGCUUAAACCAAACUGUUUACACAGAAUUCUCUCU